This 252-nucleotide ribosomal RNA is filed under the name uncultured bacterium. RNAcentral describes it as "partial 16S ribosomal RNA". It matches the Rfam family "Bacterial small subunit ribosomal RNA", at positions 100 to 354 of the family's 1533-position model. The record is from RNAcentral.
CGGGGUGAGUAACGCGUGGGCAACCUGCCUUACACAGGGGGAUAACACUUAGAAAUAGGUGCUAAUACCGCAUAAGCGCACAGCUUUGCAUGAAGCAGUGUGAAAAACUCCGGUGGUGUAAGAUGGACCCGCGUCUGAUUAGCUGGUUGGCAGGGUAAAGGCCUACCAAGGCGACGAUCAGUAGCCGGCCUGAGAGGGUGAACGGCCACAUUGGGACUGAGACACGGCCCAGACUCCUACGGAAGGCAGCAG